Molecule: transfer RNA, 84 nt
Filed under: Felis catus (domestic cat)
Lineage: Eukaryota; Metazoa; Chordata; Mammalia; Carnivora; Felidae
Rfam family: tRNA
About the family: Transfer RNA (tRNA) molecules are approximately 80 nucleotides in length. Their secondary structure includes four short double-helical elements and three loops (D, anti-codon, and T loops).
Source: Rfam by way of RNAcentral
GCCUGGUGGCUCAGUCGGUUAAGCAUCUGACUUCGGCUCAGGUCAUGAUCUCGUGGUUCAUGGGUUCGAGCCCCAUAUCGGGCU